This 301-nucleotide ribosomal RNA is filed under the name uncultured bacterium. RNAcentral describes it as "partial 16S ribosomal RNA". It matches the Rfam family "Bacterial small subunit ribosomal RNA", at positions 509 to 807 of the family's 1533-position model. The record is from RNAcentral.
CAGUAGCCGCGGUAAUACGAAGGGGGCUAGCGUUGUUCGGAUUUACUGGGCGUAAAGCGCACGUAGGCGGAUCCUUAAGUCAGAGGUGAAAUCCCAAGGCUCAACCUUGGAACUGCCUUUGAUACUGGGGAUCUCGAGUUCGGGAGAGGUGAGUGGAACUGCGAGUGUAGAGGUGAAAUUCGUAGAUAUUCGCAAGAACACCAGUGGCGAAGGCGGCUCACUGGCCCGAUACUGACGCUGAGGUGCGAAAGCGUGGGGAGCAAACAGGAUUAGAUACCCCCGUAGUCCCUGUCUCUUAUAC